Molecule: ribosomal RNA, 450 nt
Filed under: uncultured bacterium
Lineage: Bacteria
Description: partial 16S ribosomal RNA
Rfam family: Bacterial small subunit ribosomal RNA
Source: RNAcentral
GUGGGGAAUCUUCCGCAAUGGACGAAAGUCUGACGGAGCAACGCCGCGUGAACGAUGACGGCCUUCGGGUUGUAAAGUUCUGUUAUACGGGACGAAUGGUACGACGGUCAAUACCCGUCGUAAGUGACGGUACCGUAAGAGAAAGCCACGGCUAACUACGUGCCAGCAGCCGCGGUAAUACGUAGGUGGCAAGCGUUGUCCGGAAUUAUUGGGCGUAAAGGGCGCGCAGGCGGCGUCGUAAGUCGGUCUUAAAAGUGCGGGGCUUAACCCCGUGAGGGGACCGAAACUGCGAUGCUAGAGUAUCGGAGAGGAAAGCGGAAUUCCUAGUGUAGCGGUGAAAUGCGUAGAUAUUAGGAGGAACACCAGUGGCGAAAGCGGCUUUCUGGACGACAACUGACGCUGAGGCGCGAAAGCCAGGGGAGCAAACGGGAUUAGAAACCCGUGUAGUCC